CAGGAAUUUGCUAUAAGCAAAAACAUCCAAUUGGGUGAUGAGAAGGGCUUAAAAUUCCCCUCUGUUUGGGACUGGUCUCUCCAGUUUACAGCAAAGGAUCGCACCCUUUUCCAUAACCCCUUCUACAUUGGAAAGAGCACACCUUGUAUACAGAAUGGCUCCGUGAAGUCUUUUAAACGGACAAAGGUCUGGCUCUUGUAACCGUGAUCAAACUGUUCAUGUUGUCUGCUACAUUUUUGUCUCCAUCCAUUUUUCCUACCACCUCCUGAAGGCUAUCUGAUAGUCAGUCACAUUAGCAGCCCCAGGCAGCAGACAACAGGAAAGUUAGGAAAUUUGUGUUUCGUGUCAUUUUUAGGAGCAUCUGAUAAAACCUCCAGCAGGUUUUAGGAAGUAUUCAUGUAUUUUUCUGGUUACUUUCUGUCGUCUCUAAUUGAACUCACCUGAUGAAGGUUCAGUGUUCUGGGGCCAGAAUUUAUGAUUUUAGAUCACCUUCUUUGGAACCUUAGAUCACUGUGUUUUGAAAUCAUGAGUUUGCUUUUAACUUCAUAGGGUCAACUUUAAAAUGAUAUGCACUGUUAAUUUUAAAGCAUUUGCUGCAGAUAAUUAAACUUAGAAGUGCCUUUGACUUUAGGAUACAAAUAUUACAGAAGAAAAUAUAAUUUCACUUUUUAAAAUUGGGGUGGGAAAAUCCCAUUGCAUAUUUGAAAUAGGCUUUUCAUACUAAGCUUCAUAGCCAGGAGUCCCCAGAGUCUUGUUCCUCUGAAAGCCACUGGGGAGUGGCCUCUGGGGUGCUGAUUCCACAGAGGUGUAUGCUGUAGACAGGAGAGUGCCAUCUAUGCCAAAACUCGCCCUCAAAAACAAACAAGGCUUGCUGGGAGGCGUGCUGGGCUUGGCCAUCAGUAUUUCCAGUGUGGUAAACUAUUGCUGGCACUUCCCCCUGGAAAUAACUAAUGAGGUUACGAGUUGGGCACCUGCACAGAUGUCCUUCUCUCAUAGUUCCUAAUGCUUAGGAAUAGAGGAGAAAUAAAAAAAUGGAUUCUCUCAAAACACUGCCAUUUGAAUAGCGACAGAAGUGCUCCCCCAGCCCCCAACUUUGGACAGCAAAGUUGAGGAGAAUGAGCAGACACAGUUGUUUGCUUGAUCUGAAUCUCUCUAAAGUAAAGUAUUUCCAAACUGUGUGACAAGAGCCUACCUACCACUGUAGCGGUCAAAGCUGAAGCUUCUUACAGCAGUGAAACGGGGCACCACCUCCCCCACACUCCUCAUUCCCCGCUUAAAACAUGGAUACUUUCAAAUUUGACUGUUUCUUAAACUGCCAUCCUAAGAUAUGGAAAAUUUUUAUAGUAAAGUGUCUAGUUAGCUUAUUUCCUUUUCUAAAACAAGUGUUUUCAAGAUAACUGUAUUUUACCUUUAUAUGUACUGAAUAGCUGUUUCUUUUUGAAUUAUUUGCCUUUUAAAAUUUGAUAAUGUCUCUGGAUAUAACAGGACAGGAGUUCUUAAAAAAUAUCUUAAGAAAUUCACUUUAUGGGUAAACCCAAGGUUUUUGCCAACUUGUUGCCUAGAAAAUAAGGGCUAGUUUCAGUUUAUACAAAUAGAAUUAUUAAACAUUUUACAGUCCUUGAUUAGAAACCAGACCCAAUCUCCUUAUAACACCACAGCGUAUCCUGCCAUUGACAGUGUAAUCACAAUUCUCCCUUUUUCAUUUAGCUGCUUUUUUAUUAUUACUAAAUGUUUUGGAUUGAGCAUUUUUCCCUCUGUAAUUUUCUUCCUUCACGUUUAUUUUAACUCUUGUAGUAUUUUAUUGUUGUUAAUUUACAAGUUUAAAAAUAUUAGGUACUAUUAAUAAUGGUUAAAAAUAGAAAAAUGCAUAUUUUUGUAUGAUAAUCAAAUGUAAAAUACUUUUAUUUUUGCUGGA
Molecule: long non-coding RNA, 1915 nt
Filed under: Homo sapiens (human)
Lineage: Eukaryota; Metazoa; Chordata; Mammalia; Primates; Hominidae
Description: HSALNT0218045
Source: RNAcentral